UACGGAGGGUGCAAACGUUGCUCGGAAUUACUGGGCGUAAAGCGCUCGUAGGCGGUUGCUCAAGUCAGAUGUGAAAUCCCCGAGCUUAACUUGGGAAGUGCAUUUGAAACUGGGCGGCUAGAGGAUGGGAGGGGGUAGCGGAAUUCCCGGUGUAGAGGUGAAAUUCGUAGAUAUCGGGAGGAACACCAGAGGCGAAGGCGGCUACCUGGACCAUACCUGACGCUGAGGAGCGAAAGCGUGGGGAGCAAACAGG
RNAcentral lists this ribosomal RNA (253 nucleotides) under uncultured microorganism. RNAcentral describes it as "partial 16S ribosomal RNA". It matches the Rfam family "Bacterial small subunit ribosomal RNA", at positions 524 to 776 of the family's 1533-position model. The record is from RNAcentral.